CUGCCCCUACGGGGGGCAGCAGUGGGGAAUAUUGCACAAUGGGGGAAACCCUGAUGCAGCAACGCCGCGUGAGUGAGGAAGUAUUUCGGUAUGUAAAGCUCUAUCAGCAGGGAAUAGAAAAGAAGGUACCUGAAAAAGACGCCCCGGCUAACUACGUGCCAGCAGCCGCGGUAAUACGUAGGGGGCAAGCGUUAUCCGGAUUUACUGGGUGUAAAGGGAGCGUAGACGGAAAGGCAAGUCAGAAGUGAAAGCCCAAGGCUCAACCAUGGGACUGCUUUUGAAACUGUCAAACU
RNAcentral lists this ribosomal RNA (293 nucleotides) under uncultured bacterium. RNAcentral describes it as "partial 16S ribosomal RNA". It matches the Rfam family "Bacterial small subunit ribosomal RNA", at positions 333 to 642 of the family's 1533-position model. The record is from RNAcentral.